GUAGGUGGCAAGCGUUGUCCGGGAAUUAUUGGGGCGUAAAGCGCGCGCAGGCGGUUCUUUAAGUCUGAUGUGAAAGCCCACGGGCUCAACCGUGGGAGGGUCAUUGGAAACUGGAGAACUUGAGUACAGAAGAGGAAAGCGGAAUUCCACGUGUAGCGGUGAAAUGCGUAGAGAUGUGGAGGAACACCAGUGGCGAAGGCGGCUUUCUGAUCUGUAACUGACGCUGAGGCGCGAAAGCGUGGGGAGCAAACAGGAUUAGAUACCCUGGUAGUCCACGCCGUAAAUGAUGAGUGCUAAGUGUUAGGGGGUUUCCGCCCCUUAGUGCUGCAGCUAACGCAUUAAGCACUCCGCCUGGGGAGUACGGCCGCAAAGGCUG
This 376-nucleotide ribosomal RNA is filed under the name uncultured organism. RNAcentral's name for it is "partial 16S ribosomal RNA". It matches the Rfam family "Bacterial small subunit ribosomal RNA", at positions 527 to 896 of the family's 1533-position model. The record is from RNAcentral.